GUUCACUGAAUGGAAAAUUUUGGCAAGUAGAGAAUUGAAUAACUAACCUAAGGCUAAAAUACAGGUGUUUGAAAAGAGACGAAUUGAAGAAAUUUCCAAUUCUGCAUUUUUUGCCAAAAUGAUAUAUACACUGAUCAGUUACAACAUUAAAAGCACCUACCUAAUAUCAUGUAGAUGCCCCUCUUGAUGCCAAAACCGCUCUG
This is a non-coding RNA of Pelobates cultripes (western spadefoot toad), 203 nucleotides long. NCBI's taxonomy places the organism in Eukaryota, Metazoa, Chordata, Amphibia, Anura, Pelobatidae. The record is from the annotation of a GenBank genome assembly.